This 790-nucleotide ribosomal RNA is filed under the name Salmonella enterica subsp. enterica serovar Kentucky. RNAcentral's name for it is "partial 23S ribosomal RNA". It matches the Rfam family "Bacterial large subunit ribosomal RNA", at positions 566 to 1315 of the family's 2925-position model. The record is from RNAcentral. Lineage: Bacteria; Pseudomonadati; Pseudomonadota; Gammaproteobacteria; Enterobacterales; Enterobacteriaceae.
UCGCGGUGGCGGAGCGUCGUUUGCGACGCCCAACACACAAAACAAGCGGUGAGUGCUUUGGGGUGGGGUGACUGCGUACCUUUUGUAUAAUGGGUCAGCGACUUAUAUUCUGUAGCAAGGUUAACCGUAUAGGGGAGCCGAAGGGAAACCGAGUCUUAACUGGGCGUUAAGUUGCAGGGUAUAGACCCGAAACCCGGUGAUCUAGCCAUGGGCAGGUUGAAGGUUGGGUAACACUAACUGGAGGACCGAACCGACUAAUGUUGAAAAAUUAGCGGAUGACUUGUGGCUGGGGGUGAAAGGCCAAUCAAACCGGGAGAUAGCUGGUUCUCCCCGAAAGCUAUUUAGGUAGCGCCUCGUGAACUCAUCUUCGGGGGUAGAGCACUGUUUCGGCUAGGGGGUCAUCCCGACUUACCAACCCGAUGCAAACUGCGAAUACCGAAGAAUGUUAUCACGGGAGACACACGGCGGGUGCUAACGUCCGUCGUGAAGAGGGAAACAACCCAGACCGCCAGCUAAGGUCCCAAAGUCACAGUUAAGUGGGAAACGAUGUGGGAAGGCUCAGACAGCCAGGAUGUUGGCUUAGAAGCAGCCAUCAUUUAAAGAAAGCGUAAUAGCUCACUGGUCGAGUCGGCCUGCGCGGAAGAUGUAACGGGGCUAAACUGUGCACCGAAGCUGCGGCAGCGACGCUUAUGCGUUGUUGGGUAGGGGAGCGUUCUGUAAGCCUGCGAAGGUGUCCUGUGAGGGAUGCUGGAGGUAUCAGAAGUGCGAAUGCUGACAUAAGUAACGAUAA